RNAcentral lists this unclassified non-coding RNA (376 nucleotides) under uncultured Gammaproteobacteria bacterium. RNAcentral's name for it is "contains 16S-23S intergenic spacer region". Lineage: Bacteria; Pseudomonadati; Pseudomonadota; Gammaproteobacteria. The record is from RNAcentral.
UCCGGUUUGUCACCGGCAGUCUCAUUAGAGUGCCCAACUAAAUGUAGCAACUAAUGACAAGGGUUGCGCUCGUUGCGGGACUUAACCCAACAUCUCACGACACGAGCUGACGACAGCCAUGCAGCACCUGUGUAUCGGCUCUCUUUCGAGCACCCCCACCUUUCAGCAGGGUUCCGACCAUGUCAAGGGUAGGUAAGGUUUUUCGCGUUGCAUCGAAUUAAUCCACAUCAUCCACCGCUUGUGCGGGUCCCCGUCAAUUCCUUUGAGUUUUAAUCUUGCGACCGUACUCCCCAGGCGGUCAACUUCACGCGUUAGCUGCGUUACCAAGUCAAUAAAGACCCGACAACUAGUUGACAUCGUUUAGGGCGUGGACUAC